Molecule: ribosomal RNA, 460 nt
Filed under: uncultured bacterium
Lineage: Bacteria
Description: partial 16S ribosomal RNA
Rfam family: Bacterial small subunit ribosomal RNA
Source: RNAcentral
CCUACGGGAGGCAGCAGUGAGGAAUAUUGGUCAAUGGGCGCAAGUCUGAACCAGCCAAGCAGCGUGAAGGAAGACGGCCCUAUGGGUUGUAAACUUCUUUUAUAAAAGAAUAAAGUGAGGUACGCGUACCUGUCUGUAAGUACCGUAUGAAUAAGGAUCGGCUAACUCCGUGCCAGCAGCCGCGGUAAUACGGAGGAUCCGAGCGUUAUCCGGAUUUAUUGGGUUUAAAGGGUGCGUAGGUGGGCUGAUAAGUCAGAGGUGAAAGUUCGCGGCUCAACUUUGGAAUUGCCUUUGAUACUGUCAGGCUUGAGUGUAGUUGAGGUAGGCGGAAUGUGUGGUGUAGCGGUGAAAUGCUUAGAUAUCACGCAGAACUCCGAUUGCGAAGGCAGCUUACCAAGCUACCACUGACGUUGAGGCACGAAAGUGUGGGGAUCAAACAGGAUUAGAUACCCGGGUAGUC